This 1699-nucleotide long non-coding RNA is filed under the name Phaseolus vulgaris (common bean). Its description in RNAcentral is "long non-coding RNA (PVUL_LNC002026)". Lineage: Eukaryota; Viridiplantae; Streptophyta; Magnoliopsida; Fabales; Fabaceae. The record is from RNAcentral.
UGGGAGCGAAGAAGCGGGAAAUCACUUGUUGCUUUUGCUUUCCCAUGGCGAUGCUGGAUUUGGCGCGCUUCAGGAUUUUACCAGGACCAAACCAAGUUUCUUCUUUUUCUUCUUCUGUCUUGAAACUCACUUCUCUUUCACUUUUGAAACUCACUGUCACUUCAUUUUCAUUUUCCAGUUUUUAUGACGAUAUUGGUGCAAUCUGUUGUUGUGUUAAUUUCAGAGAUGGACCAAAAAAUAAAGAAUAUUAUUUUUAUAAUAUGUAUGGUUUGCAAAAAAAUCAUGAAUACGAAGUCAAUUUAUUGUUAUCUCACACUCUUUUUAAAUAAUAAUGUAUUUGUGUUAGAUAUAUAUGGUAAAAUGUUAAUUAAAAAAAAUUAUUAGAUUUUUAAUUAUUUUAUGAUUUUAAUAUAAUUUAAAAAUAUAAAUAUAAUAAUUUUCUAAAAAUUUAAAUUUUUAUAUAAAUUUUCACUGUGAUUAUAAAAAUAAGAAAUCAAUUUUCUUAAACUAAUUAUAAAUUAUUUUUCUGUUUUAAAAAAAGUUGAAAUAUAUUUAUAUACAUAAUAUUUAUUUAUUAUUAAUUUGUAUAAUUUAUAAUUAUAUAAUAUAUAUAGGUUUUUUUUUCAUUGUGUUAUAUUUUAUAAAUUAUAUAUAUAUCUGGUAUUUACGAGUGAAUCUGUCCAAGCAAAAAGUCUACUCUCAUCUCAUGUUAAUUGUCCAUGACUUGCAAUUUUUAUAUAAUUAAAUCGUGUUUGCAGAUGAUGAUUUCAUUUGCAUAAAAAAAAAUAUAAUUGAAGUUGUAUUUAACAUAUACAACUUUAUGCUUAAAAGAAACAAAAUUAUUAUUUUUUAAAUAGAAUAGUUAGUUAAAUCAUUAAAAAUUUAAAAAUAUUUAAAAAAUAUUUAACUGUUUUUUAAUUGAAAUAUAAAUUAUAAAAUAAUGUUAAAACCCUAAAUCCUUAAUGGAAAGCGUCACACCUAAACUCUAAAAUGUAAAUCCUUCUUUCGAAGGUAAAAAAACUCUAAAACCUCGAACCGUAAAUCAUAAAUAAUGUAUAUAUAAGUUCUAGAUAUAACCCUAAAAUCUAAACAGUAAACAUAAAAAAGAACACACGUAAACUUCAAUCUUAAAAUUAUUUAAGAAAUCAUGGAAUAAUAUUCUAUAUCUUUUUAAAUAUGUCAUAAAAAUAAUACAAAUUUUUUAUAAUAUUACUAAAUUAUUAUUUAUAAAUAUUUAAGUUAUUUAUUGUUAAUUAAUGUAUAGAAAUUUAUAAGUUUUGUUUUUUAGAGAGGUUAUUUAAUAAUAUAUAUUUUAUUAUUAUUAAGUGAUAAUAUGUGUUAAGGUUGAGCUUAUAUACGUGUAAUUAGUGUUUAUUUUGAUGUUUUCCAUGCGUGUUAGUUUAGAUGUGUAAAAAAAUAAGGGUAAAUAAAAUAAUAUACAAGUAUGACAUUAAGUAAAGAGCGAACAUGACAUGUUAAUUUCAACAAUAAUGUCAUUAUUUUAACUUAAUAAAGAACAAACUAUUUAUGAGAUUCUCAUACAUUGAUCAUUUUCAUUGUCUUUCUAGGUCUUGUUGGAUAGGUGGAUUGGGAGGUAAUGCAGGUGGACUAUCGUUGUCAUUGUUUUUUUUCUUAGUUGUCUUUAGGUGGAAUAUCCACAUGAAGGCAUUGUGGGAUGAUAACAAUGCAUGGAUGGAAC